CCUACGGGGGGCUGCAGUGGGGAAUAUUGGACAAUGGGGGGAACCCUGAUCCAGCCAUGCCGCGUGUGUGAAGAAGGCCCUCGGGUUGUAAAGCACUUUCAGUGAGGAAGAACGCCUGGUGGUUAAUACCCAUCAGGAAAGACAUCACUCACAGAAGAAGCACCGGCUAACUCCGUGCCAGCAGCCGCGGUAAUACGGAGGGUGCGAGCGUUAAUCGGAAUUACUGGGCGUAAAGCGCGCGUAGGUGGCUUGAUAAGCCGGUUGUGAAAGCCCCGGGCUCAACCUGGGAACGGCAUCCGGAACUGUCAAGCUAGAGUGCAGGAGAGGAAGGUAGAAUUCCCGGUGUAGCGGUGAAAUGCGUAGAGAUCGGGAGGAAUACCAGUGGCGAAGGCGGUCUUCUGGACUGACACUGACACUGAGGUGCGAAAGCGUGGGUAGCAAACAGGAUUAGAUACCCCAGUAGUC
Molecule: ribosomal RNA, 465 nt
Filed under: Vreelandella stevensii
Lineage: Bacteria; Pseudomonadati; Pseudomonadota; Gammaproteobacteria; Oceanospirillales; Halomonadaceae
Description: partial 16S ribosomal RNA
Rfam family: Bacterial small subunit ribosomal RNA
Source: RNAcentral